Molecule: ribosomal RNA, 274 nt
Filed under: uncultured bacterium
Lineage: Bacteria
Description: partial 16S ribosomal RNA
Rfam family: Bacterial small subunit ribosomal RNA
Source: RNAcentral
AUACGGAGGGUGCAAGCGUUGUUCGGAAUCACUGGGCGUAAAGGGUGCGUAGGCGGUUUGAUAAGUCUGAUGUGAAAUCCUAUGGCUCAACCGUAGAACUGCAUUGGAAACUGUCAGACUAGAAUACUGAAGGGGCAGAUGGAAUUAGAGGUGUAGGGGUAAAAUCCGUAGAUAUCACUAGGAAUACCGAAAGCGAAAGCGAUCUGCUGGGAAGUUAUUGACGCUGAGGCACGAAAGCGUGGGGAGCAAACGGGAUUAGAAACCCUUGUAGUCC